RNAcentral lists this ribosomal RNA (1103 nucleotides) under Escherichia coli. RNAcentral describes it as "partial 23S ribosomal RNA". It matches the Rfam family "Bacterial large subunit ribosomal RNA", at positions 165 to 1306 of the family's 2925-position model. The record is from RNAcentral. Lineage: Bacteria; Pseudomonadati; Pseudomonadota; Gammaproteobacteria; Enterobacterales; Enterobacteriaceae.
CAUAGGUUAAUGAGGCGAACCGGGGGAACUGAAACAUCUAAGUACCCCGAGGAAAAGAAAUCAACCGAGAUUCCCCCAGUAGCGGCGAGCGAACGGGGAGCAGCCCAGAGCCUGAAUCAGUGUGUGUGUUAGUGGAAGCGUCUGGAAAGGCGCGCGAUACAGGGUGACAGCCCCGUACACAAAAAUGCACAUGCUGUGAGCUCGAUGAGUAGGGCGGGACACGUGGUAUCCUGUCUGAAUAUGGGGGGACCAUCCUCCAAGGCUAAAUACUCCUGACUGACCGAUAGUGAACCAGUACCGUGAGGGAAAGGCGAAAAGAACCCCGGCGAGGGGAGUGAAAAAGAACCUGAAACCGUGUACGUACAAGCAGUGGGAGCACGCUUAGGCGUGUGACUGCGUACCUUUUGUAUAAUGGGUCAGCGACUUAUAUUCUGUAGCAAGGUUAACCGAAUAGGGGAGCCGAAGGGAAACCGAGUCUUAACUGGGCGUUAAGUUGCAGGGUAUAGACCCGAAACCCGGUGAUCUAGCCAUGGGCAGGUUGAAGGUUGGGUAACACUAACUGGAGGACCGAACCGACUAAUGUUGAAAAAUUAGCGGAUGACUUGUGGCUGGGGGUGAAAGGCCAAUCAAACCGGGAGAUAGCUGGUUCUCCCCGAAAGCUAUUUAGGUAGCGCCUCGUGAAUUCAUCUCCGGGGGUAGAGCACUGUUUCGGCAAGGGGGUCAUCCCGACUUACCAACCCGAUGCAAACUGCGAAUACCGGAGAAUGUUAUCACGGGAGACACACGGCGGGUGCUAACGUCCGUCGUGAAGAGGGAAACAACCCAGACCGCCAGCUAAGGUCCCAAAGUCAUGGUUAAGUGGGAAACGAUGUGGGAAGGCCCAGACAGCCAGGAUGUUGGCUUAGAAGCAGCCAUCAUUUAAAGAAAGCGUAAUAGCUCACUGGUCGAGUCGGCCUGCGCGGAAGAUGUAACGGGGCUAAACCAUGCACCGAAGCUGCGGCAGCGACGCUUAUGCGUUGUUGGGUAGGGGAGCGUUCUGUAAGCCUGUGAAGGUGUACUGUGAGGUAUGCUGGAGGUAUCAGAAGUGCGAAUGCUGACAUAAG